AGGAGGAGGCCAUGACUGUGGAGAAGAGAGUGUGAGAAUUUUGAGGAGUGAUGAUGAAGAAGAAGAUAAAAGGGAGAGAGAGAGAAGUGGACACGUAAGGGACGUGUGACCGUUAGGAUGAGAGUAAUUACGGAAAUGCCAUCGUCGGUGGUGGGGGAGUUUUUGAAAAGAGUGUGUGUGGGAAAAACACAGCUGGAGACACGAUUGAGACUUUCUUCAUUGGCUCUGUUGUGUUGUGUUGGC
Molecule: long non-coding RNA, 243 nt
Filed under: Capsella grandiflora
Lineage: Eukaryota; Viridiplantae; Streptophyta; Magnoliopsida; Brassicales; Brassicaceae
Description: long non-coding RNA (CGRA_LNC000084)
Source: RNAcentral